Gossypium arboreum is the source of this 722-nucleotide long non-coding RNA. RefSeq lists it as uncharacterized. Lineage: Eukaryota; Viridiplantae; Streptophyta; Magnoliopsida; Malvales; Malvaceae. The transcript is spliced from 2 exons. The record is from RefSeq and is a predicted model, not a curated record.
UUUGGUUUGGUUGAGUGGUUAAGCAUUUAAUGUAUUUGCUUAAGGUUUUGUGUUUGAGUCACUAUAUGUAUAAGAAAUAUUUAAAUUUUUUUCUCAUUCUCUAGCAAGUUGGUGGAGGAGUUUGGAUUAAAUUUAAACUCUAAGAAAUAAAUUUGAUUAGUUGGGGAUAAGAUUUGGUAUCUUUUUGAAAAUAAAAAAAAAAUUUAAUAAAGUAUAUCACCCAAAACAAACCCCCACAUUUGUUUUGCCCUUAAUUCCCCAUUUCACGCCACUAUACUUCUCCCUGCUUUUGAUUUUUUUUGCUGUGUUUUUUGUUUUGUUUUUUUUUUCCCUUUUAUUCUUUUGGGUUGUUCUUAUGCCGUUCUUAAUAGUCUCUUUCCCAAAUAAUUUCUUUUCAAUUUUGAUUCUUCUUUUAUCAAUUUCCAAGCCGAAAUUGUCAUAACCUUAAUGCUUCAAUUCCUUCUUUGCUAUUACACUCCUGUGUGGGUUCGUGGUGUUGGGAGAGGAUCAUGUGACAUUGGGUUCUUGGAUGAACUGAGUUCAUUUUAAGUUGCUGAGUGAUAGGAGGUGAGUAUUCUGCUGUUGGGUGGGGUUUGUUUGUUUUGGUUAUUGGGUUUGUGUGUUGAAGGAUUUAUUAAGUCGAUGAUUGGGUUGUUAAUUUCCCGGUUAUUAAUUUGUAUUAUUUGGUAAUCUAGGUACUGAAAUAUUUGAUUUUGAACGUA